GGUGGCUCAGUGGUAGAGCGCUUGCCUUGCAUGCAAGAGGCCCUACGUUCAAUUCCUCAGCACCA
RNAcentral lists this transfer RNA (65 nucleotides) under Dipodomys ordii (Ord's kangaroo rat). It matches the Rfam family "tRNA". From Rfam's summary of the family: Transfer RNA (tRNA) molecules are approximately 80 nucleotides in length. Their secondary structure includes four short double-helical elements and three loops (D, anti-codon, and T loops). The record is from Rfam by way of RNAcentral. Lineage: Eukaryota; Metazoa; Chordata; Mammalia; Rodentia; Heteromyidae.